GGAAAAGUAGUAGUUUGUGUGUCGGUGUGUGUGAUAGUGGUUCCAGAGGCCAUGUGGGUAUCUCGUCGUCAUUCUGGAUGCAGUGCAUCAUGGACCUGACCAGAUAAAUCCCAUUUUUGUGAUUGAUUGUCAAGAAUGCAACUUUUCAGAUGCAUCGAUUUGCGGUAAGGAAGUCGCCCUCGACCAUUCCACCGAAGUGAACAGGCCAAGAAAAGCCGCAAAGUUCAUUAAGUCCCCAAGUGGCUAACUACACAUCAUGGAUUUCCUGCGGUCCCCCGGAAUUCCUCGAUUCCCCGUCAUCAUCCUCAAAUUUUGUCGUCGUGCUUUUGGGUUAUCAGUCCGGGUUUUCCCGUGUUCCCCAGCUCAACAGAUCUCUCAAUGGACACUGGCCGCAGAAAAUUCUUAGAAUUCCGGAAAUGAAUGUGCGCAAUUUCGCAUUGGGCAAACAGACAGAAACAGCCGAGAACCAACUACAUUUUCGGGUCCCCAGUGCCGGGAAAUUCAUGGCCACGGUUGGAUGAAAAGUGAGUGUGUUCCUACCGAAAUCGAAAAGAACGCAACAGGCGCGUAUGCAAAUUCCCAAAGGAGCAAAAAAUAUUUGUAAACAAAGCGGCUUCGUUUGCGAGCCGAAAGCGAACUUGAGCGCAAAAGCGGAAAACCCGAGCUCCGAGUAAGCGGCAUGCUAAAGUGAAACUCAAAUUUGAGUGACUUUCUUGUGAAUGAA
Long non-coding RNA from Drosophila teissieri, 724 nucleotides. RefSeq lists it as uncharacterized. The record is from RefSeq and is a predicted model, not a curated record. The transcript is spliced from 4 exons. NCBI's taxonomy places the organism in Eukaryota, Metazoa, Arthropoda, Insecta, Diptera, Drosophilidae.